This 464-nucleotide ribosomal RNA is filed under the name uncultured bacterium. RNAcentral describes it as "partial 16S ribosomal RNA". It matches the Rfam family "Bacterial small subunit ribosomal RNA", at positions 339 to 795 of the family's 1533-position model. The record is from RNAcentral.
CUACGGGUGGCAGCAGUGGGGAAUAUUGCACAAUGGGCGCAAGCCUGAUGCAGCCAUGCCGCGUGUAUGAAGAAGGCCUUCGGGUUGUAAAGUACUUUCAGCGGGGAGGAAGGGAGUAAAGUUAAUACCUUUGCUCAUUGACGUUACCCGCAGAAGAAGCACCGGCUAACUCCGUGCCAGCAGCCGCGGUAAUACGGAGGGUGCAAGCGUUAAUCGGAAUUACUGGGCGUAAAGCGCACGCAGGCGGUUUGUUAAGUCAGAUGUGAAAUCCCCGGGCUCAACCUGGCAACUGCAUCUGAGACUGGCAAGCUUGAGUCUCGUAGAGGGGGGUAGAAUUCCAGGUGUAGCGGUGAAAUGCGUAGAGAUCUGGAGGAAUACCGGUGGCGAAGGCGGCCCCCUGGACGAAGACUGACGCUCAGGUGCGAAAGCGUGGGGAGCAAACAGGAUUAGAUGCCCUGGUAGUC